GCCUGGCUAGCUCAGUUGUUAGAGCAUGGGACUCUUGAUCUCAGGAUUGUGGGUUUGAGCCACAUGCUGGAUG
This 73-nucleotide transfer RNA is filed under the name Pangasianodon hypophthalmus (striped catfish). It matches the Rfam family "tRNA". From Rfam's summary of the family: Transfer RNA (tRNA) molecules are approximately 80 nucleotides in length. Their secondary structure includes four short double-helical elements and three loops (D, anti-codon, and T loops). Further hydrogen bonds mediate the characteristic L-shaped molecular structure. tRNAs have two regions of fundamental functional importance: the anti-codon, which is responsible for specific mRNA codon recognition, and the 3' end, to which the tRNAs corresponding amino acid is attached (by aminoacyl-tRNA synthetases). tRNAs cope with the degeneracy of the genetic code in two manners: having more than one tRNA (with a specific anti-codon) for a particular amino acid; and 'wobble' base-pairing, i.e. permitting non-standard base-pairing at the 3rd anti-codon position. The record is from Rfam by way of RNAcentral. Lineage: Eukaryota; Metazoa; Chordata; Actinopteri; Siluriformes; Pangasiidae.